UUUAUAAGUACUAAAGACAGACGUGAAUUGUGAAUGAUAACAAACGUACUGAUAGGUAGCAAGACGGCAGCCAUUUCAUGCGUAUCACAAAGUUGCUGUCAUCACUAUUUAUUUUGUCAUGAUGCUUCACACAGUCACGUAUUUGUGUUUAAAAACAAUUUAGAUUGUCCCGUCUAUGUUGGGAAAAGUAAAGUCAAUGUUUGUUUUCACAUCCUGUGUGGAUCUGGCAUAAUACGGGUUUUCACGUAGGAAACGAACGCAAACUGUUUUCUUUUUGUUUAGUUACUGAUAUUACAUAAUAUAUUACGAAUUAUGAAGCUGUUAAGUUAUAAGUUUAUAAGUUCGAUAAUGAAUUAACCGGUCCAGGAAAUAAAGUUGCGGAUACAACAAUUUCAAAAAUGUAUCAAAAACAAAUCAAGAUUGGUAACACUCAAAUACGAUGUUGAAUAUCAUAAUUUGGCUACUCAAGAAGAAGUUGAUCGUUGAACUGAAGACACCGACGACAUUAUCAUUUUUUAAAAAUGUAGUUUUCCCGGCGAUCAAUAAGCUACAUGUCUCCUUAAAAACAAGAAUAUUGAAUUGCAUACCAGCAACAAAUCACGAUUCAGCAGAAAUAAUCAUAUUUAAGGAUGAAUGGAAUAAACUUUUCCUGAAUAUUGAAUCGUGCUUUGUGGCAGCUCAUGGACUUGCCUUCAGUAAUGAGGAAAAUUGAAAGAAGUGGCAAUUAUUUCCUCGCCGUCCAUUACUGACACUGUUAGGGAAUUUGAACUACGUGCAAAGCCAAGCUGUAAGGUCAAAUCUAUUAAAGCAUCAGUGAAUAAUGAACUACAAAGUACUAUUGGAGGUGAGAUUAAUAGCUGUCUGGAGUUUCGGUGAACUGGCUGAACUGGAAAAUGCCUCUUGCCCAUGCUUGCUAUGGUCUAAAAAUUUACAGAUGGCAGUUUGGACCAGAAAUUAUAACACACUAAUAGAGCUAGUCUAGCUGUAUUAAAUUAUAAUUGUGUGGUGUUUUUAAAGCACCUUUUAAGUCUUCUGUCGAUGUGUUAGAUUCAUCUACAAUAUCGCCUUAUUGGAAACCAUCAAUUGACAUGUUAGUUAAUCGAAAAGAUUUAGGAGUUUGUAUGAUAAAUUAUUAUUUAUAUAAUGAAAUUAAGUAGGUGGUAUUAAAUGGUUAAAUAGUGUAGGGGUUUUUGACCACAGCUUGUAAGUACUGAAGAAUGCUGUCUGGUAUCCAUACACCAUUCUUCAGUACUGUGAUCAAAAACCUCUGCACUUUUUAAACUUUCAAUACCAUCAAUACCGCCAACCUUAGUUUAAACUCCUAAAUACUUUCAUGUAAUUAAUAUAUCAACAGAUGGUUUGCAUCUGUUAAUUAUUGGGUUUUAUAUGCUGUUAACUAAUAUUCUAUUUUACAUUAUUUUAAACUUGUAAUAAAUUUCCUACAAUGGUUAUCGGAAUAAAUAUAAUCCCCCUCAUGAAAGAAUAUGAAUCAUGGAAUAAAUCAACAAAAUAAAAUAUUUUGAUAAAUUAAAAUUUUAAAUUAACAAAUAAAUAAUAUACUAAUAUGUAUUUAUAUUU
Long non-coding RNA from Metopolophium dirhodum (rose-grain aphid), 1578 nucleotides. RefSeq lists it as uncharacterized. NCBI's taxonomy places the organism in Eukaryota, Metazoa, Arthropoda, Insecta, Hemiptera, Aphididae. The transcript is spliced from 3 exons. The record is from RefSeq and is a predicted model, not a curated record.